RNAcentral lists this ribosomal RNA (301 nucleotides) under uncultured bacterium. RNAcentral's name for it is "partial 16S ribosomal RNA". It matches the Rfam family "Bacterial small subunit ribosomal RNA", at positions 510 to 808 of the family's 1533-position model. The record is from RNAcentral.
CACCGCCGCGGGAAUACGGAGGGGGCUAGCGUUGUUCGGAAUUACUGGGCGUAAAGCGCACGUAGGCGGCUUUGUAAGUCAGAGGUGAAAGCCCGGGGCUCAACCCCGGAAUUGCCUUUGAGACUGCAUCGCUUGAAUCCAGGAGAGGUGAGUGGAAUUCCGAGUGUAGAGGUGAAAUUCGUAGAUAUUCGGAAGAACACCAGUGGCGAAGGCGGCUCACUGGACUGGUAUUGACGCUGAGGUGCGAAAGCGUGGGGAGCAAACAGGAUUAGAUACCCCUGUAGUCCCUGUCUCUUAUACC